CUGGCGGCGUGCCUAAUACAUGCAAGUCGAGCGAGCGGAACUAACAGAUUUACUUCGGUAAUGACGUUAGGAAAGCGAGCGGCGGAUGGGUGAGUAACACGUGGGGAACCUGCCCCAUAGUCUGGGAUACCACUUGGAAACAGGUGCUAAUACCGGAUAAGAAAGCAGAUCGCAUGAUCAGCUUUUAAAAGGCGGCGUAAGCUGUCGCUAUGGGAUGGCCCCGCGGUGCAUUAGCUAGUUGGUAAGGUAAAGGCUUACCAAGGCGAUGAUGCAUAGCCGAGUUGAGAGACUGAUCGGCCACAUUGGGACUGAGACACGGGCCAAACUCCUACGGGAGGCAGCAGUAGGGAAUCUUCCACAAUGGACGCAAGUCUGAUGGAGCAACGCCGCGUGAGUGAAGAAGGUUUUCGGAUCGUAAAGCUCUGUUGUUGGUGAAGAAGGAUAGAGGUAGUAACUGGCCUUUAUUUGACGGUAAUCAACCAGAAAGUCACGGCUAACUACGUGCCAGCAGCCGCGGUAAUACGUAGGUGGCAAGCGUUGUCCGGAUUUAUUGGGCGUAAAGCGAGCGCAGGCGGAAGAAUAAGUCUGAUGUGAAAGCCCUCGGCUUAACCGAGGAACUGCAUCGGAAACUGUUUUUCUUGAGUGCAGAAGAGGAGAGUGGAACUCCAUGUGUAGCGGUGGAAUGCGUAGAUAUAUGGAAGAACACCAGUGGCGAAGGCGGCUCUCUGGUCUGCAACUGACGCUGAGGCUCGAAAGCAUGGGUAGCGAACAGGAUUAGAUACCCUGGUAGUCCAUGCCGUAAACGAUGAGUGCUAAGUGUUGGGAGGUUUCCGCCUCUCAGUGCUGCAGCUAACGCAUUAAGCACUCCGCCUGGGGAGUACGACCGCAAGGUUGAAACUCAAAGGAAUUGACGGGGGCCCGCACAAGCGGUGGAGCAUGUGGUUUAAUUCGAAGCAACGCGAAGAACCUUACCAAGUCUUGACAUCUAGUGCCAUUUGUAGAGAUACAAAGUUCCCUUCGGGGACGCUAAGACAGGUGGUGCAUGGCUGUCGUCAGCUCGUGUCGUGAGAUGUUGGGUUAAGUCCCGCAACGAGCGCAACCCUUGUUAUUAGUUGCCAGCAUUAAGUUGGGCACUCUAAUGAGACUGCCGGUGACAAACCGGAGGAAGGUGGGGAUGACGUCAAGUCAUCAUGCCCCUUAUGACCUGGGCUACACACGUGCUACAAUGGGCAGUACAACGAGAAGCGAGCCUGCGAAGGCAAGCGAAUCUCUGAAAGCUGUUCUCAGUUCGGACUGCAGUCUGCAACUCGACUGCACGAAGCUGGAAUCGCUAGUAAUCGCGGAUCAGCACGCCGCGGUGAAUACGUUCCCGGGCCUUGUACACACCGCCCGUCACACCAUGGGAGUCUGCAAUGCCCAAAGCCGGUGGCCUAACUUUCGGGAAGGAGCUGUCUAAGGCAGGGCAGAUGACUGGGGUGAAGUCGUAACAAGG
RNAcentral lists this ribosomal RNA (1492 nucleotides) under Lactobacillus crispatus. RNAcentral's name for it is "16S ribosomal RNA". It matches the Rfam family "Bacterial small subunit ribosomal RNA". The record is from RNAcentral. Lineage: Bacteria; Bacillati; Bacillota; Bacilli; Lactobacillales; Lactobacillaceae.